UGCUCUGAAGAACCCUUGUUCAGCAACAACUUCAAACCCUUAUGACCAGAUCGAUCACAGGACCACCAUUAAUCUCUUCACUUCUUAAGACCCAUCUCGAAUUCAAAAGCAAACCCUAGUCUCUUCUUCAAAUGACUUCUUCUUAAUCAAGAGCACAAAGUCAUCAGUAUCAGCUUCAGACCCCCUUUUACAAAAUCGAUUGAACCACAACAACCCUAGUUCGAUCUGCAGUUGGAAGCAUCGAUCUGAGAUUUUAGGUUAUUUGUGAGAUUUGGAAGCAUCGUUCUGACGAUCAGAUAAUAAGGGUUUUUCAAGGUUGAACAACUUGAGUACUUUGAAGAAAGAUCUAUGUUGGAUGUUGUUUUUAUCAAAUUCCAAUUCAGAUUGAGUGGAUCUUUUCUUCUUACUGCCACAGAAGUGUUUUUGGUGCUGUUAGUUGUGGAAAUCAUCAUAAGAAUGAGGUAGUGAUGAAAGUAAUUCAUCCAGAACAACAGACGGGAAUCUUAUUUUGAUACUUCAGUUGAGAUUUUUUUUUUUUUGAUUUGGUAGUACAAGUUAUUACAAGGAUUGAUGAAUUUUAGUGUUGGUUUUGUAAUAUUGUAUAUUUAAAUUGUUAGUGUUACUGCCAAUUUAGAUGGUGAUGUUAUAAUUUGAAGUUAGCCCUAGGUAUUGUUUCUUCUAUGGGAGACUUGUUUAAUUUUUUUUUAUUUCUUUUAACGUUUUAUAGUUUAGCAAUGUAACAUCUCUUGUCCAUUUGUUCACAAUUGAUAAUCUGAAAGACUCUAAUCAAGAGAUGCUACUCUCCUUCUCCACUGGUAAUUGAUCAAGGAUUUCGAAUGUAACUGUGCAUACCAUGAAUGAAUCGAACAACACCAAGCAAAGCAAAGAAGCUAUAAGAAGGAGCUCAAUGCAACCAGGAAAAACACACCUCUUGACACUAAAACAGAUGUCCAUCUAGUGUUGGAUAAAAAGACUGAUAGAAGAGAAAAAGGGGUUAUUUAUUUUAAUUUUCAACGAAGAGUGAGAAAGAGGGUAGUGAAGUUUCGAAGAAAUUCAAGAUAUGCCGGCUCAUAGCAAAGCUGUUAUUGAGGAAUUUGCGAACAAGUAUCCGGAAGGGGAAUUUGCGAACAAGUAUCGAGGAAGCUGUUAUUCAAUAUAUGCAGCACCGGUCUUAUGCUAAUCUAUGUUGGUUGUCCGUUUAAAUUUAUUUUGUAUUAGCUUGGAUAGUAUUACACUUGGAAUUUUAUUAUUCAGUCUUUUAACUAAAUGCUGUCAUUUUUAGUACGAUCCGGUAAGUCUUUGUUGAGAUCUUCAUUACAUCAUUUGCAUUUUAUUCAUUAAGCCAUUGGGUCUGGUGGGUUUUCAUAAUUCAACAGUUUCUAAUUCUUGCAUAUUUGUGUAACUGGCAGUUCUAGUACAUGUCUAUUAAACAACAAAAGGUGACGAUGGAUUCAGUUUCGCAGGAAUCAGCAAAAGCUUAUGUCCUGUGCUGUCUAUAGUUGGUGCUGGUGGUGCCUCAUCUGUUUGAUUUUUGUGAUGAAUGGGUGGUGGUGGUGAUGAUGUAGGUUAAGGUUGGAGGAAAGAAUAUCACUUUCAAGAUAUGCCCAUGUAAUAUAUGGUUUUCAUCCCUCACUUACCUUCUUCUUGAACUUAAAAGAAUCAAAGGUUGCAGAAAAGAGAGUGUCAAAUUCUAUUAACUAUCUUAACAUUUUUGGAACAUGUUGUGUUGGGGAAUUUUCAACUUGAUUGGCUUCUAUUUACAACGGACAUGUUCCUUUCCUGGAAAUUGCAUGAUCAACAACAGUUACCGUGGACAUCUGAAGACGGCAUUCCAGGCCUAAGAGGUCAGCCGUCUGGUUCUUGCUUAUCAUGGAGCUUAUCGGAAACUCUUUGCGGAGCUAAAGGUUUUAUUUUUCAGACAACAGAUAAUGUGUUUCUUUAUUAGCUUAUGAUACUUGUAUAUAUUUGUAUCUCCU
This is a long non-coding RNA of Papaver somniferum (opium poppy), 1976 nucleotides long. RefSeq lists it as uncharacterized. The record is from RefSeq and is a predicted model, not a curated record. The transcript has 8 exons. NCBI's taxonomy places the organism in Eukaryota, Viridiplantae, Streptophyta, Magnoliopsida, Ranunculales, Papaveraceae.